This 317-nucleotide ribosomal RNA is filed under the name uncultured bacterium. RNAcentral's name for it is "bacterial SSU rRNA". It matches the Rfam family "Bacterial small subunit ribosomal RNA", at positions 28 to 334 of the family's 1533-position model. The record is from RNAcentral.
GAUGAACGCUGGCGGCGUGCCUAACACAUGCAAGUCGAACGGAGAUGAGUUGAUAUUUUCGGAUGGAUACUUAUCUUAGUGGCGGACGGGUGAGUAACGCGUGGAUAACCUGCCUCGUACUGGGGGAUAGCAGCUGGAAACGGCUGGUAAUACCGCAUAAGCGCACGAUGCCGCAUGGCAAUGUGUGAAAAGAUUUAUCGGUACGAGAUGGAUCCGCGUCUGAUUAGCCAGUUGGCGGGGUAAAGGCCCACCAAAGCGACGAUCAGUAGCCGGCCUGAGAGGGUGAACGGCCACAUUGGGACUGAGACACGGCCCAA